GAAGGAAUAGCUCAGUGGUAGAGUGUGUGCUUAGCACACGUGAGGUGCUGGGUUCAAUCCCCAGUACCUCCG
RNAcentral lists this transfer RNA (72 nucleotides) under Camelus bactrianus (Bactrian camel). It matches the Rfam family "tRNA". Rfam says of the family: Transfer RNA (tRNA) molecules are approximately 80 nucleotides in length. Lineage: Eukaryota; Metazoa; Chordata; Mammalia; Artiodactyla; Camelidae. The record is from Rfam by way of RNAcentral. RNAcentral also lists the same sequence under 1 other name.